UCACACAGCAUUGUACCUUAUCUGUCCCCAGACAUUGCACCUGGUGCUGUGAAGCUGAAAUUAAGGUAUUUU
This is a non-coding RNA of Myotis brandtii (Brandt's bat), 72 nucleotides long. The record is from Rfam. NCBI's taxonomy places the organism in Eukaryota, Metazoa, Chordata, Mammalia, Chiroptera, Vespertilionidae.